Molecule: unclassified non-coding RNA, 200 nt
Filed under: soil metagenome
Description: partial contains internal transcribed spacer 2 and large subunit ribosomal RNA
Source: RNAcentral
UUCUUUGCUGCCGCUUGCGGUGGCUCCCCUUAAAUUCAUCGGUCGGGCUUUCGUGCGGCUCUGUCCCUUGGCGUUGUAUUACCCUCGUCGCUGGAUGGCUCGCGAUACUGUGCCCCUCCUCGACCUGCCUAUGGAGUGGCGGUCUUCAACACGUUUUGUGAUCUGACCUCAAAUCAGGUAGGACUACCCACUGAACUUAA